This 3605-nucleotide long non-coding RNA is filed under the name Dasypus novemcinctus (nine-banded armadillo). Its description in RNAcentral is "lncRNA (ENSDNOG00000052448.1)". Lineage: Eukaryota; Metazoa; Chordata; Mammalia; Cingulata; Dasypodidae. The record is from RNAcentral.
AUGGCAUUGUGGGAUAUCCCUGUGGAAUGGUCCUGUGGGAUAUCUCUGUGGCAUGGCCCUGUGGGAUGGCCCGGUUGCCCCGUGACAGGGAGGGGCUCUCCAGGGAAGCUGAGCCACAGGAGAUACAUAUGCAAAUAUAAUGUAAAUAUCUUGAGCUUUGUUGGAGUUGCUGACUGUGGGGAUGGGCAGGUCCACAUCCAUAGCACAGGCUGCAGGCUCGGAACAUGGCAGAGGCCCUCCCCGAAUUCCCUCCCGCACUGGCGGGCUGAGGUAGAGGCGGGCCUUGUCUCCUGCGGCUGCUGGAAUCAUCACUUCUCAGGCCUUCGACUGACGGGGACGGGACGUCUCUCCCUGCUGAUGACAAGCGCCCCUGCCAACGGCAGGGGUGACCGGCCGCAGCCGCGUCAGCUCCUGGGACUUGAGUCCGUGAGCCGCCCUCACGGGAGCCAUCGGCCAGUGCUCCUGACCCGACGCCCGGCGCCGAGGCCCGGCCCGGCUGACGCCCGUGCUUCACCUCACAGCCUGUCUCGGCCAGCAGGGCCUGAGCGCGACGGCUGCCUCAGACGCGGGAGAAGGGCCUCUUCGGGCUGCCACCGGGGCUUCCAGCCCCUGCCAACUGCCCCGGGGCUCAGGUUCUCUGCGGAGGCGACAGUGCCGGCUCAGGCUGAGGGAGGGCCCACACGGAGCGUGGCUGCCGGGAGCGCGUCUCUUCACCCCCCCCCCCCCCCCCCCCCGCCUGAAAAGGAAGUCUGGGUCAGCUGUGAAUCGUUGCCCUGUCCGCCUGCCCAUCCGUCCUUCCGUCCACCCCCCAGCCCCUUCAGCUCUCAUUGUCUGUCCUGAGCCAGGCCCUCCACUGGGUCCCCAAAAACCGAAGUUUUGGGGCCCACAGCCCCUGGCCUCCUGCCGGCUCUGUUACCCCUAGGGACAGGACAGGGGCUUGACUUGGAGAGACAGAAGGAGAGGAGGGCACAGACGUGCCCGGCCGAGCAGCCCGCGUGCCGCAGAUCUACUUGAGGUCAUGUCAAGAAAACAGAAGAUCCAGCUUCUCCAGGGAGAAAAGCCCGAGCGUCACCCAGUGGAGGGGAAGCGGCCUGAGGCCAGGCUGGACCCCCGCAGGGCAGAGCCGAGCAGACGGGAGACGGGCGGUCCCGGAGCCCCCCUCGCCCUGCAGGCCUGACCUUCUCGCCUUCCGUUUCUCAGACGGUCCUGUCUUCCCCGUUCCCUCUGGUUCCAGGUGAUGGAAGCCCCUCUCUGCCCUGCCCCGGGGACCACGUCCUGGGGGGCCCUCGCCGGCCUGCUGGUUUGCGAGCAGGCGGUGGGGAGUCAGUCGGCCAGCCUGCCGGCGGGGGGGCCACCCAGGAGGCCUCAGGCCUGUGCCCCCGGGAGCCGGCGCCCUGCUGGCCAGCCGUUGCCGCGGGCAGAUGCCCAGUUUCUCUGGACCGCUCUUCUCAUCCAGCAGAUUCGCCCCGACAGUCCCCCCGCUGGCCUGUCCUGCAGCGCAAGGCCAGCUCUAAAUCCUCCGCCUUGUCCCAGCCCGGCUGGCUGCGAGCCUGGGGUUCUGUCGGACUUGCAGAACCAGGCCGUGGGAAGGCGGCCUCUGCUCCCUCCCCGCCGUUUUCUCCGUCCGCUGCUGGUUGAGCUGGGCCGUCACUGAGGGCAGAAGCAGCCUCUCACGCAGCUUAGCCACACAGCGCUGCAGAGGUGGGCUCCGACGGGACUCGAGCCCCGGGGGACUCCUCGGUUCCACGUGCGCGUGGGGUUCGCAGGUGCCUGCGCCGGCGUCAACAGCAGGCAUUGCGAUUUUUUUUUCCUUUGCUACCAUUGAUGAAAAAAUAUAAUUGUGCUGUUACCCAUAGUCCAUAGUUUAAAAUCAGGUUCACUCGUUGUGUUGUACGGUUCUAUGUGUUUUGUUUUUAAUUUUUUCCUGGUGACAACCUAUAAUUUCCCAUUUUAACCAGUUUCAGAUAUAUAAUUUAAGGAGUUACUCACAUUCCCAGCAUUGUGCUUCCAACCUCACCAUCCAUGACCAAAAUUCUUCCAUCACCCCAAACAAACGGUACAAAUUAAGCAUCGACUCGCCAUUCCCCUUCCCAUCCCUGCUCCUGGUAACCUGUAUUCUAGUUUCUGACCCUGUGAAUUUGCAAAUUCUAAUUAUUUCAUAUCAGUGUGAUCAUGCGGUACUUGUCCUUGUGUGCCUGGCUUACUUCAGUCAACAUAAUGUCUUCAAGAUCAUCUGUACUGUAGCAUGUUUUAGAAUAUUGCUCCUCUUUAUGGCUGCAUGAUAUUCCUGCUGUACGUAUAUCCCAAAUUUUAUCCGUCCAUUCAUCUGUUGGAUGCUUGGGUUAGUUGUGAAUAAUGCCACCGUGAACAUCGAUGUGCAAAAGCCUGUUUGAGUCCCUCCUUUCUUUAGGGAAUAUUCCUAGAUGUGGGAUGGCCUGGUGUUCCGCUUUCCUCGUUGCUAAAGCAAAUAAUCUGCAGUGGGUUACCUUCAUUAAUGGGAAUUUGUUGGCUCACGGUUUUGAGAGUUAGGACAAGUCCAAAACAAGGCAUCCUCAAGGCAAGGGUUCUUCCCCAAAACUGGCUCUCUCUGGCUGUUUACCACUGGUCCUCGGUCCUUGGCUUCUGUGUCACACAGCCCUGUACACGAUGUCCUCUCCUAACCUCUCCUUCUCUUCCCGGAUCCACUGACUUCCAACCCUGCUCGCUCUGUCUGAAUUUCAUUCUACUCGUAAAGGACUCCAGUGAUAGGAUUAAGACCCCUCCUGAUUGAGUCAGGUCACGUCUUAAUGAAAUUACCCCCUCAAAAGGUUCUCCUUACGCUGGGUUCAGACCCACAGAAAUGGAUUCUGUUUAAAAACAUGUUUUUCUGGUGUGUAGUUCCACAUCGCCACACCGGGUCACCGCGGGUCAUGUGGUAAUUCUGUUCUUAGCUUUCUGAGGAACUGCCAAACUGUUUUCCACAGUGGCUGUGGGAUUUUACAUUCCCACCACAUUGUAGGAGGCUUUCUAUUUCUCCACAUCCUGUCCAACACUGGAACUUUCUGUCUUUUAAAUAAUAGCCUGUGGCAAUUGGAGAUUAUUUAAAUGAAUCCCCCAAAAAAAGAGAGGUUGUGUUUGUAAACUGGUCUGCUCCUGCGGGUGUGAUUCCCUUUGACUGUAUUCAACUCAGGUAAGGGCCCUUUGAUUAGAUUACUUGGUACGAUGGCUUUACGGCUUUGGGUUGGACCACGUCAGUGAGGAGCGAGUCGUUGAGUCUCUGCCUUCUCACUGGUUCUGAUGUAAAUGAAGAAUCAAGGGACGGAACAGGUACAGGAAAAGGAAGCCUCCGUAUCUGCACCUGCCCUGUGGGACUGCGGGGAGGCCCAGUGAGAGACGAGCCUGGGCCCGGCCGCCCUCAGUUGAGUGCGACCUUGGCCUAGAGCCCCCUCCCUCUGGCUUCACCAUGUGGCCCCUGGCUUGGGUGAGAGAGCACCUCUUAUGGCGCCUCGAGUUGGACUUUUCACGGCCUUGGAACUGUCAGCUUUUACCCCAGUGCAUCCCCUUUAUAAAGCCGGCCCAUUCCUGGUGCUUUCAUCGGCAGCCUCUGGCAGACCGAAAUACAGCCG